UGGGGAAUAUUGCACAAUGGGCGCAAGCCUGAUGCAGCCAUGCCGCGUGUGUGAAGAAGGCCUUCGGGUUGUAAAGCACUUUCAGCGAGGAGGAAGGUGGUGAGCUUAAUACGCUCAUCAAUUGACGUUACUCGCAGAAGAAGCACCGGCUAACUCCGUGCCAGCAGCCGCGGUAAUACGGAGGGUGCAAGCGUUAAUCGGAAUUACUGGGCGUAAAGCGCACGCAGGCGGUUUGUUAAGUCAGAUGUGAAAUCCCCGGGCUCAACCUGGGAACUGCAUUUGAAACUGGCAAGCUAGAGUCUCGUAGAGGGGGGUAGAAUUCCAGGUGUAGCGGUGAAAUGCGUAGAGAUCUGGAGGAAUACCGGUGGCGAAGGCGGCCCCCUGGACGAAGACUGACGCUCAGGUGCGAAAGCGUGGGGCAGCAAGCAGGAUUAGAUACCCUGGUAGUCCACGCUGUAAACGAUGUCGAUUUGGAGGUUGUGCCCUUGAGGCGUGGCUUCCGGAGCUAACG
RNAcentral lists this ribosomal RNA (511 nucleotides) under uncultured bacterium. RNAcentral's name for it is "partial 16S ribosomal RNA". It matches the Rfam family "Bacterial small subunit ribosomal RNA", at positions 355 to 857 of the family's 1533-position model. The record is from RNAcentral.